CGGAGCCUAAUACAUGCAAGUCGAGCGGACAGAUGGGAGCUUGCUCCCUGAUGUUAGCGGCGGACGGGUGAGUAACACGUGGGUAACCUGCCUGUAAGACUGGGAUAACUCCGGGAAACCGGGGCUAAUACCGGAUGGUUGUUUGAACCGCAUGGUUCAAACAUAAAAGGUGGCUUCGGCUACCACUUACAGAUGGACCCGCGGCGCAUUAGCUAGUUGGUGAGGUAACGGCUCACCAAGGCAACGAUGCGUAGCCGACCUGAGAGGGUGAUCGGCCACACUGGGACUGAGACACGGCCCAGACUCCUACGGGAGGCAGCAGUAGGGAAUCUUCCGCAAUGGACGAAAGUCUGACGGAGCAACGCCGCGUGAGUGAUGAAGGUUUUCGGAUCGUAAAGCUCUGUUGUUAGGGAAGAACAAGUACCGUUCAAAUAGGGCGGUACCUUGACGGUACCUAACCAGAAAGCCACGGCUAACUACGUGCCAGCAGCCGCGGUAAUACGUAGGUGGCAAGCGUUGUCCGGAAUUAUUGGGCGUAAAGGGCUCGCAGGCGGUUUCUUAAGUCUGAUGUGAAAGCCCCCGGCUCAACCGGGGAGGGUCAUUGGAAACUGGGGAACUUGAGUGCAGAAGAGGAGAGUGGAAUUCCACGUGUAGCGGUGAAAUGCGUAGAGAUGUGGAGGAACACCAGUGGCGAAGGCGACUCUCUGGUCUGUAACUGACGCUGAGGAGCGAAAGCGUGGGGAGCGAACAGGAUUAGAUACCCUGGUAGUCCACGCCGUAAACGAUGAGUGCUAAGUGUUAGGGGGUUUCCGCCCCUUAGUGCUGCAGCUAACGCAUUAAGCACUCCGCCUGGGGAGUACGGUCGCAAGACUGAAACUCAAAGGAAUUGACGGGGGCCCGCACAAGCGGUGGAGCAUGUGGUUUAAUUCGAAGCAACGCGAAGAACCUUACCAGGUCUUGACAUCCUCUGACAAUCCUAGAGAUAGGACGUCCCCUUUCGGGGGGCAGAGUGACAUGUGGUGCAUGGGUUGUCGUCAGCUCGUGUCGUGAGAUGUAGGGAUAAGUCCCGCAACGAGCGCAACCAUGAUCUAGUUGCCAGCAUUCAGCUGGCACUCUAGUGAACUGCCGGUGACAAGCCGGAAGUAUGGGUGGGGGAU
This 1157-nucleotide ribosomal RNA is filed under the name Bacillus tequilensis. Its description in RNAcentral is "bacterial SSU rRNA". It matches the Rfam family "Bacterial small subunit ribosomal RNA", at positions 43 to 1183 of the family's 1533-position model. The record is from RNAcentral. Lineage: Bacteria; Bacillati; Bacillota; Bacilli; Caryophanales; Bacillaceae.